CCUUUGUACACACCGCCCGUCGCUACUACCGAUUGAAUGGCUUAGUGAGACCCUCGGAUUGGCGUUAGGAAGCCGGCAACGGCAUCCUUUGGCCGAGAAGUUGGUCAAACUUGGUCAUUUAGAGG
RNAcentral lists this ribosomal RNA (125 nucleotides) under Trichosporon sp. Its description in RNAcentral is "partial small subunit ribosomal RNA". It matches the Rfam family "Eukaryotic small subunit ribosomal RNA", at positions 1657 to 1779 of the family's 1831-position model. The record is from RNAcentral. Lineage: Eukaryota; Fungi; Basidiomycota; Tremellomycetes; Trichosporonales; Trichosporonaceae.